Molecule: small nucleolar RNA, 122 nt
Organism: Benincasa hispida (wax gourd)
Lineage: Eukaryota; Viridiplantae; Streptophyta; Magnoliopsida; Cucurbitales; Cucurbitaceae
Product: small nucleolar RNA SNORD14
Source: RefSeq, a predicted model, not a curated record
GAACUAUGAUGAUAUCUCUAAGGCUUGUUUCUCAAAACAUUCGCAGUGGCCGUCUAAGAGCUUUCGCCUUCGCCGGGCUUGAGAGCUACUGCUGCUUUAUCCUUCCUUGGAUGUCUGAGUUC